RNAcentral lists this non-coding RNA (27 nucleotides) under Mus musculus (house mouse). RNAcentral also lists the same sequence under 1 other name. Lineage: Eukaryota; Metazoa; Chordata; Mammalia; Rodentia; Muridae. The record is from RNAcentral.
UGAACAUAGGCAUGGUGGCGGAGAGAC